RNAcentral lists this ribosomal RNA (253 nucleotides) under uncultured bacterium. RNAcentral describes it as "partial 16S ribosomal RNA". It matches the Rfam family "Bacterial small subunit ribosomal RNA", at positions 524 to 776 of the family's 1533-position model. The record is from RNAcentral.
UACGAGUGCCCCGAGCGUUAUCCGGAAUUAUUGGGCGUAAAGCGUGUGUAGGUGGUCAUGUUAGUCUCCUGCGAAAUUCUUCGGCUUAACCGGGGCGUGACGGGAGAAACGGCAUAACUUGAGGAUGCGAGAGGUGUGUAGAACUCUAGGUGUAGGGGUGAAAUCCGUUGAUAUCUAGGGGAAUACCAAAAGCGAAGGCAGCACACUGGCGCAUUCCUGACACUGAGACACUAAAGCGUGGGGAGCGAAUGGG